Molecule: ribosomal RNA, 253 nt
Filed under: uncultured bacterium
Lineage: Bacteria
Description: partial 16S ribosomal RNA
Rfam family: Bacterial small subunit ribosomal RNA
Source: RNAcentral
UACGAAGGGGGCUAGCGUUGCUCGGAAUCACUGGGCGUAAAGCGCACGUAGGCGGGUCUCUAAGUCAGGGGUGAAAUCCUGGAGCUCAACUCCAGAACUGCCUUUGAUACUGGGGAUCUCGAGUCCGGGAGAGGUGAGUGGAACUCCGAGUGUAGAGGUGAAAUUCGUAGAUAUUCGGAAGAACACCAGUGGCGAAGGCGGCUCACUGGCCCGGUACUGACGCUGAGGUGCGAAAGCGUGGGGAGCUAACAGG